AUUGAACGCUGGCGGAAUGCUUUACACAUGCAAGUCGAACGGCAGCACGGACUUCGGUCUGGUGGCGAGUGGCGAACGAGUGAGUAAUAUAUCGGAACGUAUCCAAUAAUGGGGGAUAACUAAUCGAAAGGUUGGCUAAUACCGCAUACGUCCUACGGGAGAAAGCUAGGGACCUUCGGGCCUGGCGUUAAUGGAGCGGCCGAUAUCGGAUUAGCUAGUUGGUGAGGUAAAGGCUCACCAAGGCGACGAUCCGUAGCUGGUCUGAGAGGACGACCAGCCACACUGGAACUGAGACACGGUCCAGACUCCUACGGGAGGCAGCAGUGGGGAAUUUUGGACAAUGGGCGAAAGCCUGAUCCAGCCAUUCCGCGUGAGUGAAGAAGGCCUUCGGGUUGUAAAGCUCUUUCGCAAGAGAAGAAAACUUACCCUCUAACAUAGGGUGAGGUUGACGGUAUCUUGAUAAGAAGCACCGGCUAACUACGAGCCAGCCGCCGCGGUAA
Molecule: ribosomal RNA, 500 nt
Filed under: uncultured bacterium
Lineage: Bacteria
Description: partial 16S ribosomal RNA
Rfam family: Bacterial small subunit ribosomal RNA
Source: RNAcentral